RNAcentral lists this ribosomal RNA (253 nucleotides) under Phocaeicola coprophilus DSM 18228 = JCM 13818. RNAcentral's name for it is "partial 16S ribosomal RNA". It matches the Rfam family "Bacterial small subunit ribosomal RNA", at positions 524 to 776 of the family's 1533-position model. Lineage: Bacteria; Pseudomonadati; Bacteroidota; Bacteroidia; Bacteroidales; Bacteroidaceae. The record is from RNAcentral.
UACGGAGGAUGCGAGCGUUAUCCGGAUUUAUUGGGUUUAAAGGGAGCGUAGACGGGUUUUUAAGUCAGCUGUGAAAGUUUGGGGCUCAACCUUAAAAUUGCAGUUGAAACUGGAGGCCUUGAGUACGGUUGAGGCAGGCGGAAUUCGUGGUGUAGCGGUGAAAUGCUUAGAUAUCACGAAGAACCCCGAUUGCGAAGGCAGCCUGCUAAGCCGCCACUGACGUUGAGGCUCGAAAGUGCGGGUAUCAAACAGG